Long non-coding RNA from Syngnathus typhle (broad-nosed pipefish), 828 nucleotides. RefSeq lists it as uncharacterized. Lineage: Eukaryota; Metazoa; Chordata; Actinopteri; Syngnathiformes; Syngnathidae. The record is from RefSeq and is a predicted model, not a curated record. The transcript has 2 exons.
CAGUAGGCCGCCGUAGUCCUCGGGCGCGUCGACGGGCCAGUAGCGCUCGCACUUCCUCUGAGGACGGACGGCAAACGCAAAGCUUUUGCACACUUGGGCUCAUGUCAAGUUUGAACGGCCAAGUCUCAAGUUGGAGGCACAACAGGUUGGUGAUCAUCACGAUGACGCCGACCUUCUGUUCCCAGAUCAUGCGCCAGAAGUCGUCCGUACUGGACUUGAGCGGCCCCUGUGCUGCGAUGUAGGCGUGGCGCAUCUUGAAGCCCUGCCGCGCACGGGAGAAGAAAAAAACACAAGAACAAGAUUUGGCUCUCCAGCCAAACCUGCAUUUGAUUGCUUGAGCAAUGACAACGUGGCUAAUGACAAAUGAGCUAACCGAGCGACGGGCAAACUUUUCAACCAAAGGCCGAAAGCGACGAGCGCGGGAAAAGGACGAGAAGGCGGCUCGGCGGAUGUCUCACGUACGUCCACAAAGUUAGCGUUGAUGUAAUCCCGUCCGUUGUCGGCCGCCGUGAGUCGCACUCGAGUAUGGUCGACUGAAAGGCAAAAAAUCCACUUGGCUUGAGUUUGCAAAGAAGAAGGGCAAAAAAAGCCGGGGCUCCCACUGACAGGCCAGGAUGUUGCUGUAUCGGUUCUUGCCGUUGUUGUCGGGAUGGCUGGACGUCUCCGAGGUCGUGGCCACGUCCGCCGCGCACGCCUGCACCUCCUCCCGCAGAAAAAAAAAUAAAAAAUUGGGUUGUGUCUUUAGGUCAGAGGUCAAUGUGAGCUGCUGCUGCGCUUUUGAGUUGGCCGAUUCCAAAUAUUGAAAAUAAAGGCCGUAAUGCAAGAAAA